AACGAACGCUGGCGGCAUGCCUAACACAUGCCAGUCGAACGAAACCUUCGGGUCUAGGGGCGCACGGGUGCUUAACACGUGGGAACCUGCCCUUAGGUUCGGAAUAACUCCCCGAGAGGGAUGCUAAUACCGGAUAAUGUCUUCGGACCAAAGAUUUCUCGCCUUUGGAUGGGCCCGCGUUGGAUUAGCUGGUUGGUAGGGUAAAAGCCUACCAAGGGGACGAUCCAUAGCUGGUCUGUGAGGAUGAUCAGACCGACUGGGAGUGAGACACGGCCCAGACUCCGGAGGGAGGAAGCAGUGGUGAAGAUUGGACAAUGGGCGCAAGCCGGAGCAAGCAAUGCCGCGUGAGUGAGGAAGGCCUUAGGGUUGCAAAGUUCUUUUACCCGGGAGGAUAAGGACAGUAAAGGGAGAAUGAGGUCCGGCUAACUCCGGG
This 433-nucleotide ribosomal RNA is filed under the name uncultured bacterium. RNAcentral describes it as "partial 16S ribosomal RNA". It matches the Rfam family "Bacterial small subunit ribosomal RNA", at positions 29 to 507 of the family's 1533-position model. The record is from RNAcentral.